Molecule: transfer RNA, 87 nt
Filed under: Bacteroidales bacterium
Lineage: Bacteria; Pseudomonadati; Bacteroidota; Bacteroidia; Bacteroidales
Description: tRNA-Leu
Rfam family: tRNA
About the family: Transfer RNA (tRNA) molecules are approximately 80 nucleotides in length.
Source: RNAcentral
GCCCGGGUGGCGGAAUUGGUAGACGCGCAUGAUUCAGGGUCAUGUCCUCGCAAGAGGGUGCGGGUUCGACUCCCGCCUCGGGCACCA